Molecule: long non-coding RNA, 2507 nt
Organism: Poecile atricapillus (Black-capped chickadee)
Lineage: Eukaryota; Metazoa; Chordata; Aves; Passeriformes; Paridae
Exons: 3
Source: RefSeq, a predicted model, not a curated record
GUCUCUGCUGGGAGACCUCUCCAUCCUCUUCCUGGUCAGGAAGGGGACACAGCUGGGCCCCAGAAGACCAACUGGGUGGAGGGUGAAGGUGCUGAGAGAGGAGUUGUUCUGUGUUUGAGAGUAAAUGUGGAUGAACAUCCCUUACCCCACGCUGAUGGAGCACUGCAGUGUCCCUGCCUGCCCUUCACACCAAAAGGGCUUGGAAGAUGAGCGUGCAUCUGCCCAACAGCUUUCAGAGCGAGCCAUCCCUGGCAGCCAAAGCAGAUUCUCUGUGCCUGCUUCCAAGCAGCACGAGAUGAAACAACUGGUGGCAGAGUGGGGUGUCUCUACAGUCCUAGCCAUGAAGAGAGGGGAUGAAACAUCCUGGAGCAGCACAGGGAAGAGGCUGGAGCUGGGCUGCUUUCUCCACAGCUGUAGAAUUACGGUGAAAUGGGGACUCUGUUCGUGUUUCAUUGGCUUCUCUGAGGAAAACAGCGACCAUGAGUUGAGACAGAGCCUUGGGGUGGGUGCAGGUCCCACCACCAGCUCUGCCAGCUCCCUCAGCUGGGCCUGCUUCCCUCCAGCCCAUCCUGCCUCACAGCCCCAGCUCUGGGAGGCAGGAAAGCUUUGUUCCACAGGGCUCAGCUCUUUCACCCCUCAAGCUGCUCCUAAGCAGUCUCUUCCAUUUGUGCUGAAAUGCUGUGUAGGAGCACUUGUCACUCAUCUCAGCUUGCAUUCAGCAUGUUCCCAGAACCUGGGCAUGGAUGUAGAUGAGCUGUCCAUGUGGGAACUUGCUGGGCUCUCAGAGCACCUGCUCCUUUGGGAUCUGACACAAAGGGUGCCCCCCAUGUGCCCUGAGGUCUGUGCAGUGGGAAAGUUUAUUCUGCACUAUCACUGGCAGUGUUUCCAUUCUCCUAACACCUUUCAAACAGCUUGGUAGGUUCUACCUUGUGCAGGUGUCCAUCUCCCAUUAUCUUCCUCCUACCUGAGGUACACACAGAGCCUGUGACACACAGCUGAGUGAUUUUUAUUCCCUCCACUUGAGGGAAGUAGCUUACAAUGUUUUAAACUGGUCCUCUGUGACUGACUCAUGCCACCUAUUUCUGAAACACAGCCAGUAAGGUAAGAGAAGAUUUAGAAAAGUUAACGAUGUCCAGAUCUGUUUAGGACAGGAAUGGAGCCCAAAAGUUGAAUUAAAUACUGUAAAGAACCAAGCCCAGCAUAGCUGCCCAACACAAAGCCAUGCUGUAAGAGUGUGAUGUUCCUUCCUGCUGCCUUUUUUAUUUGUUAUAGAAACUGUCUGUGCAGUUGGUGGGUUCUCCCCAGAGGGCAAAGCUGCUCUAAGAGCUCUGCACACCUCCAGGCAAGGUUCUUCCUAUGGAGGAGGUGAUGGGAGCUGGUCAAGGAGGUACUUUUCCAAAGGCAUGCCACAGGGAUCAGGGGCCAGUCCAGCCUUUUUCAUUAAUGAGGUGAAAGAUGGGGUAAGCAGCCUGUGGAUGACAUGGAGGGUGAAAAGAAGAGGGAACCAUGCCAAGGGCCAGGUCCCAGGUUCCAUCCUGGCCAAACUAAGCAGGGCUGGGCUGUGUCUGCCAUGGGCUCAGGCUUCACAUUGGCCUGGUUUUGUGAGUAAAAGCAAAGAGCUGGGGCUGAGCCUGGGCAGCCCGAGCAGCAGGCUGGGUUUGUGAGGGCAGCUUUGAGCUGAGCUUUGGCUCUGCUCUAAACCCCAGGUUUUCUGCAGGCCCAUCUUGUAAAUAUUUAAACACAGGAGUAGUAGACCCUGCAAGUCUGUGUGAGGAUUUGCAGGCAGGGAGGGGAGCAGAGUGGGUGUGAGCUGCAUGUCUCACGUGUCUGCACCCGUAUGUGCAGUCUCCCAGUGCCUUCCAGAGAGAUUUUAAUCCAGAGAGCUCUGACAGCCUUUCAGGCAUCAAUCACCCGGUGCUGCAACACCCCUGCAAGGUCAGGCAGUGUGAUCAGCCUCCCUCAGAGCAGCGUUUUGUGCCUCAGCGAGGAGGGAUGGGCAGAGGGAGAGCGGCUCUGGAGUGUGUGAUGAGAUUUCCUGCAAUCACAGCUUUCCAGAUUCCUAGAGCCAGGGAUGGGAUCCAGGUCUCCUGGAGCCCUGCUCCCUGCCCUGACCACUGAAAACACUUCCUCUCCACAGAAACCUCACCGUGAAACCACCCACCGGAGCAGGGCUUUGGAGUUUGGCAGGCAGAGCACGGGCUCGGCUCUCCCCAGUCCGCAGGCGCAUUUUUGGGGUUGUGUGUUUACUGAAAUCUUGGCUUUGCUGGUCUGCAGAGAAUAAAAGUUGAUUGUUGAGCAGCCAGGGCUCGGCGUCGCCCUGCCUGUACGUGUAAAUAGCCUGCCCAGCCAGGCCAGGCCAGGGGGGAUGGCUGGGGGGCCACAGCCUGCUCGUGUGAGGAGCCUUGUCUCUGCUCUGUGCUAAACACGUCUCUGGUUACCUGCUCUCACUGGAGCUUUUCUGGCUCCUCCAAUCCUUUCCUUGGCUGCUCUGGCUGCAGGGCCUUGUG